AAAAUGCAUGUAUUGGGGAAAACGCCAACACAGCAAAACUAUACGCAACGGAUACUUCGGAUAAAAAUCUGGACUCAGGCUAGGGAAAGAUAUGAACAAAACAUCCCUGCCGAGGAAAAUGCAUGUAUUGGGGAAAAAGCCAACACAACAAAAGGAGAUCCACAAUAAAAACUCCGUUGGGGAAAUCUAAAAAGACUCUCCAGG
This 204-nucleotide long non-coding RNA is filed under the name Lathyrus oleraceus (garden pea). RNAcentral describes it as "Pisum sativum (pea) long non-coding RNA (PSAT_LNC012337)". The record is from RNAcentral. Lineage: Eukaryota; Viridiplantae; Streptophyta; Magnoliopsida; Fabales; Fabaceae.